Schistosoma mattheei is the source of this 45-nucleotide non-coding RNA. The record is from Rfam. Lineage: Eukaryota; Metazoa; Platyhelminthes; Trematoda; Strigeidida; Schistosomatidae.
AUCCAUCUGACGAGUCCCAAAUAGGAUGAAACGCGCGGCCUGGAU